AGCGUAUGGUGAGGGCACCUUCUCAAUAGAUCCUUGUAUCUCUCCCAUGCAUCAUAGAGUGUUUCUAAAUCCAUCUACACAAAAGAAGAAAUAUCAUUCCUUAAUUU
RNAcentral lists this small nucleolar RNA (107 nucleotides) under Gossypium arboreum. RNAcentral's name for it is "Plant small nucleolar RNA R71". It matches the Rfam family "Plant small nucleolar RNA R71". From Rfam's summary of the family: R71 is a member of the C/D box family of snoRNAs containing the C (UGAUGA) and D (CUGA) box motifs. Multiple nearly identical copies of this snoRNA have been identified in Arabidopsis, and it is thought to function as a 2'-O-ribose methylation guide for 18S ribosomal RNA. The record is from Rfam by way of RNAcentral. Lineage: Eukaryota; Viridiplantae; Streptophyta; Magnoliopsida; Malvales; Malvaceae.